RNAcentral lists this ribosomal RNA (253 nucleotides) under uncultured bacterium. RNAcentral describes it as "partial 16S ribosomal RNA". It matches the Rfam family "Bacterial small subunit ribosomal RNA", at positions 524 to 776 of the family's 1533-position model. The record is from RNAcentral.
UACGGAGGGUGCAAGCGUUAUCCGGAUUCAUUGGGUUUAAAGGGUGCGCAGGCGGAAUUUUAAGUCAGUGGUGAAAGCCUCUCGCUCAACGGGAGAACUGCCAUUGAUACUGAAAUUCUUGAAUGUGGUUGAUGUGGGCGGAAUGUGUCAUGUAGCGGUGAAAUGCUUAGAUAUGACACAGAACACCAAUUGCGAAGGCAGCUCACAAAGCCAUUAUUGACGCUCAGGCACGAAAGCGUGGGGAUCAAACAGG